Molecule: ribosomal RNA, 550 nt
Filed under: uncultured Enterobacter sp.
Lineage: Bacteria; Pseudomonadati; Pseudomonadota; Gammaproteobacteria; Enterobacterales; Enterobacteriaceae
Description: bacterial SSU rRNA
Rfam family: Bacterial small subunit ribosomal RNA
Source: RNAcentral
GGUAGCUAAUACCGCAUAACGUCGCAAGACCAAAGAGGGGGACCUUCGGGCCUCUUGCCAUCGGAUGUGCCCAGAUGGGAUUAGCUAGUAGGUGGGGUAACGGCUCACCUAGGCGACGAUCCCUAGCUGGUCUGAGAGGAUGACCAGCCACACUGGAACUGAGACACGGUCCAGACUCCUACGGGAGGCAGCAGUGGGGAAUAUUGCACAAUGGGCGCAAGCCUGAUGCAGCCAUGCCGCGUGUAUGAAGAAGGCCUUCGGGUUGUAAAGUACUUUCAGCGGGGAGGAAGGUGUUGAGGUUAAUAACCUCAGCAAUUGACGUUACCCGCAGAAGAAGCACCGGCUAACUCCGUGCCAGCAGCCGCGGUAAUACGGAGGGUGCAAGCGUUAAUCGGAAUUACUGGGCGUAAAGCGCACGCAGGCGGUCUGUCAAGUCGGAUGUGAAAUCCCCGGGCUCAACCUGGGAACUGCAUUCGAAACUGGCAGGCUAGAGUCUUGUAGAGGGGGGUAGAAUUCCAGGUGUAGCGGUGAAAUGCGUAGAGAUCUGGGA